Molecule: ribosomal RNA, 253 nt
Filed under: uncultured bacterium
Lineage: Bacteria
Description: partial 16S ribosomal RNA
Rfam family: Bacterial small subunit ribosomal RNA
Source: RNAcentral
UACGUAGGGGGCUAGCGUUGUCCGGAAUCAUUGGGCGUAAAGCGCGCGUAGGCGGCCCGGUAAGUCCGCUGUGAAAGUCAAAGGCUCAACCUUUGAAUGUCAGCGGAUACUGCCGGGCUAGAGUCCGGAAGAGGCGAGUGGAACUCCUGGUGUAGCGGUGGAAUGCGCAGAUAUCAGGAAGAACACCAACGGCGAAGGCAGCUCGCUGGGACGGUACUGACGCUCAUGCACGAAAGCGUGGGGAGCAAACAGG